This is a long non-coding RNA of Melanotaenia boesemani (Boeseman's rainbowfish), 436 nucleotides long. RefSeq lists it as uncharacterized. The transcript has 4 exons. NCBI's taxonomy places the organism in Eukaryota, Metazoa, Chordata, Actinopteri, Atheriniformes, Melanotaeniidae. The record is from RefSeq and is a predicted model, not a curated record.
GAUAUACUGUAACCAUGUUCAUGAUGGAAGAAUACAUUUUCCUUUUAAAGGAAAUCAUUCAUUGUGUGUUUUCAUUUAUAUUGCACUGCAGUACUCUUUUAAAGUGAUCAUAUAACAACUAAUCAGUACUGAUAUUUUAUGAAAGUAGAUGAAGGAGGGAUAAUAAUACAGUUGAUGCUUUAAAUAUAUAAAAUAUAGCUGGACAGCGUUCUUAUUUCUUAGUUGAUCGAAUAGCAGCAGAUAAGAAGGUUCAUUAAAAAAGAAAAGACAUGGGAAAUUAUUUUAUCGAGACUUGAGACUUGACUUGGACUCGUGACCAAAGACUUGAGACUUGAUCAAGUCUUACCCCCCAAAGACUUCAGACUUGACUUGGACUUGCAAAAAAUGACUUGUGAACAUCUCUGCCAUGUGGCUCAUAGAACAUUUCAAAAACUGG